GCAGGGGUGGCAGAGCAUGGUCAAACCUGCACUAAGCGAAAGAGGGGCUAAAUGCGCGGGACUCAAGAUCCCGUCCCAUAGGGGUUCGUGGGUUCAAAUCCCACCCCCUGCACCA
This 115-nucleotide transfer RNA is filed under the name Candidatus Bathyarchaeota archaeon. RNAcentral's name for it is "tRNA-Leu". It matches the Rfam family "tRNA". Rfam says of the family: Transfer RNA (tRNA) molecules are approximately 80 nucleotides in length. Their secondary structure includes four short double-helical elements and three loops (D, anti-codon, and T loops). Further hydrogen bonds mediate the characteristic L-shaped molecular structure. tRNAs have two regions of fundamental functional importance: the anti-codon, which is responsible for specific mRNA codon recognition, and the 3' end, to which the tRNAs corresponding amino acid is attached (by aminoacyl-tRNA synthetases). tRNAs cope with the degeneracy of the genetic code in two manners: having more than one tRNA (with a specific anti-codon) for a particular amino acid; and 'wobble' base-pairing, i.e. permitting non-standard base-pairing at the 3rd anti-codon position. Lineage: Archaea; Thermoproteati; Candidatus Bathyarchaeota. The record is from RNAcentral. RNAcentral also lists the same sequence under 2 other names.